Molecule: ribosomal RNA, 207 nt
Filed under: uncultured bacterium
Lineage: Bacteria
Description: partial 16S ribosomal RNA
Rfam family: Bacterial small subunit ribosomal RNA
Source: RNAcentral
UGCGUAGGUGGUAUGGCAAGUCAGAAGUGAAAACCCAGGGCUUAACUCUGGGACUGCUUUUGAAACUGUCAGACUAGAGUGCAGGAGAGGUAAGCGGAAUUCCUAGUGUAGCGGUGAAAUGCGUAGAUAUUAGGAGGAACAUCAGUGGCGAAGGCGGCUUACUGGACGGUAACUGACGUUGAGGCUCGAAAGCGUGGGGAGCAAACA